RNAcentral lists this ribosomal RNA (682 nucleotides) under uncultured organism. RNAcentral's name for it is "bacterial SSU rRNA". It matches the Rfam family "Bacterial small subunit ribosomal RNA", at positions 22 to 677 of the family's 1533-position model. The record is from RNAcentral.
GCUCAGAACGAACGCUGGCGGCGUGGAUUAGGCAUGCAAGUCGAACGAGAAAUGCUCCUUCGGGAGCUGAGUACAGUGGCAAACGGGUGAGUAACGCGUGGGAAACCUGCCCUUCAGUUGGGGACAACACCUCUAACGGGGUGCUAAUACCGAAUACCAUCUUCUGGUCGCAUGGCCGGAUGAUGAAAGGCGGCCUCUGCUUGCAAGCUGUCGCUGAAGGAUGGUCCCGCGUCCCAUUAGUUAGUUGGUGAGGUAACGGCUCACCAAGGCGACGAUGGGUAGCCGGCCUUAGCGGGUGACCGGCCACACUGGGACUGAGAUACGGCCCAGACUCCUACGGGAGGCAGCAGUCGAGAGGCAUCCACAAUGGGGGAAACCCUGAUGGUGCGACGCCGCGUGGACGAUGACGGCCUUCGGGUUGUAAAGUCCUUUCAGCAGGGACGACAGAUCGGCGGGUGAAUAAUCCGUUGGUUCAGACGGUACCUGCAGAAGAAGCUCCGGCUAACUCCGUGCCAGCAGCCGCGGUAAGACGGGGGGAGCGAGCGUUGUUCGGAAUUACUGGGCGUAAAGGGCGUCUAGGCGGAUGUGUAAGUCAGAUGUGAAAUCCCCCGGCUUAACCGGGGAACUGCAUCUGAUACUGCAUGUCUUGAGUGCGGAAGAGGACAGCGGAAUUCCUGGUGUA